GACGAACGCUGGCGGCGUGCUUAACACAUGCAAGUCGAACGCUGAAGCCCUGGCUUUUGUUGGGUUGGUUGAGUGGCGAACGGGUGAGUAACACGUGAGUAACCUGCCCUCUUCUUUGGGAUAACGCCCGGAAACGGGUGCUAAUACUGGAUAUUCACUGAUCUUCGCAUGGGGGUUGGUGGAAAGGUUUGUUCUGGUGGGGGAUGGGCUCGCGGCCUAUCAGCUUGUUGGUGGGGUGAUGGCCUACCAAGGCUUUGACGGGUAGCCGGCCUGAGAGGGUGACCGGUCACAUUGGGACUGAGAUACGGCCCAGACUCCUACGGGAGGCAGCAGUGGGGAAUAUUGCACAAUGGGCGAAAGCCUGAUGCAGCGACGCCGCGUGAGGGAUGGAGGCCUUCGGGUUGUAAACCUCUUUCGCUCAUGGUCAAGCCGCAACUGUGGGUUGUGGUGAGGGUAGUGGGUAAAGAAGCGCCGGCUAACUACGU
This 485-nucleotide ribosomal RNA is filed under the name uncultured bacterium. Its description in RNAcentral is "partial 16S ribosomal RNA". It matches the Rfam family "Bacterial small subunit ribosomal RNA", at positions 28 to 506 of the family's 1533-position model. The record is from RNAcentral.